Molecule: transfer RNA, 55 nt
Filed under: Diadema antillarum
Lineage: Eukaryota; Metazoa; Echinodermata; Echinoidea; Diadematoida; Diadematidae
Description: partial tRNA-Lys
Source: RNAcentral
UAAAAGCUUUAANCUCUUAAUUUAAAAGACAGUAGUUAAACUCUACUAUUAAGGG